UGGGGAAUUUUGGACAAUGGGCGAAAGCCUGAUCCGGCAAUGCCGCGUGUGUGAAGAAGGCCUUCGGGUUGUAAAGCACUUUUGUCCGGAAAGAAAUCCUUGGCUCUAAUACAGUCGGGGGAUGACGGUACCGGAAGAAUAAGCACCGGCUAACUACGUGCCAGCAGCCGCGGUAAUACGUAGGGUGCAAGCGUUAAUCGGAAUUACUGGGCGUAAAGCGUGCGCAGGCGGUUUGCUAAGACCGAUGUGAAAAUCCCCGGGCUCAACCUGGGAACUGCAUUGGUGACUGGCAGGCUAGAGUAUGGCAGAGGGGGGUAGAAUUCCACGUGUAGCAGUGAAAUGCGUAGAGAUGUGGAGGAAUACCGAUGGCGAAGGCAGCCCCCUGGGCCAAAUACUGACGCUCAUGCACGAAAAGCGCGGGGAGCAAAACAGGAUUAGAUACCCUGGUAGUCCACGCCCUAAAACGAUGUCAACUAGUUGUUGGGGAUUCAUUUCCUUAGUAACGUAGCUAACGCGUGAAGUUGACCGCCUGGGGAGUACGGUCGCAAGAUUAAAAACUCAAAGGAAUUGACGGGGUCAUAGCUGUUUCCU
Molecule: ribosomal RNA, 591 nt
Filed under: uncultured bacterium
Lineage: Bacteria
Description: partial 16S ribosomal RNA
Rfam family: Bacterial small subunit ribosomal RNA
Source: RNAcentral